GAUGAACGCUAGCUACAGGCUUAACACAUGCAAGUCGAGGGGCAGCAUUUCAGUUUGCUUGCAAACUGGAGAUGGCGACCGGCGCGACGGGUGAGUAACACGUAUCCAACCUGCCGAUAACUCGGGGAUAGCCUUUCGAAAGAAAGAUUAAUACCCGAUGGUAUAAUUAGACCGCAUGGUCUUGUUAUUAAAGAUUUCGGUUAUCGAUGGGGAUGCGUUCCAUUAGGCAGUUGGCGGGGUAACGGCCCACCAAGACUACGAUGGACUAGGGGGUUCUGAGAGGAAGGUCCCCCCAGAUU
RNAcentral lists this ribosomal RNA (299 nucleotides) under uncultured bacterium. RNAcentral describes it as "partial 16S ribosomal RNA". It matches the Rfam family "Bacterial small subunit ribosomal RNA", at positions 28 to 314 of the family's 1533-position model. The record is from RNAcentral.